GAUGAAGAACGUAGCAAAAUGCGAUAAGUAAUGUGAAUUGCAGAAUUCAGUGAAUCAUCGAAUCUUUGAACGCACAUUGCGCCCGCUGGUAUUCCGGCGGGCAUGCCUGUUCGAGCGUCAUUUCAACCCUCAAGCCCCCGGGUUUGGUGUUGGGGCUCGGCUCUGCCCUUCUGGGCGGUGCCGCCCCCGAAAUACAUUGGCGGUCUCGCUGCAGCCUCCAUUGCGUAGUAGCUAACACCUCGCAACUGGAACGCGGCGCGGCCAUGCCGUAAAACCCCAACUUCUGAAUGUUGACCUCGGAUCAGGUAGGAAUACCCGCUGAACUUAAGCAUAUCAAUAAGCGGAGGA
RNAcentral lists this unclassified non-coding RNA (348 nucleotides) under soil metagenome. RNAcentral describes it as "partial contains 5.8S ribosomal RNA, internal transcribed spacer 2, and large subunit ribosomal RNA". The stretch from base 1 to 120 matches the Rfam family "5.8S ribosomal RNA", at positions 35 to 154 of the family's 154-position model. The record is from RNAcentral.